This is a non-coding RNA of Peromyscus maniculatus bairdii (prairie deer mouse), 1288 nucleotides long. NCBI's taxonomy places the organism in Eukaryota, Metazoa, Chordata, Mammalia, Rodentia, Cricetidae. The record is from RefSeq and is a predicted model, not a curated record.
CCACACUGGAAGGAGCCAUUCCCAUGGUAGCACUUGGAACUGUUGGCUUCUACUUCUCCCUGGCAGGCGCAGUCACAUUCUGCACUGACGAGUAUUUCCAGGGUGUCCCCCAGCCCCACAGGCUUUAUGCAGAGAGGAGUUCAAUCAUGCCUCCGAGUCCUUUCAGUUGUAUUCAAGUUUUGCUGGAGGCCACACGUCUGCAGAGCAUCAUUCUGAACCAGCCUCAGUUUGGGGUCAGGACCUUGAUUUUUCUACCUGCUGCUCCAUUUGGGAAGAUGAACCCAGCCCUUAACUGACGGAGCCAUCUCCAUAACCUCAGAUGGGAAGUCUUCUGAAGUACCUGCUAUUCGUCCUGGCCUUCUUAAGUAGACUCUCAAGAAUACACUGGAGUUGUUUUUGUUUGUUUGUUUGUUUGUUUUUUAAAGAAAGAAAGUUAUACUUUCAAUAUUAACUACAAUUCUACAACCAUCAAACUCUUCCACAUUCCACAGAGAAGUCAAUCAUGGUAGAAAACAGCUGGAAUGUUGUGACUCUGGGGAGGCCAAGGUGGGAGUUUUGUGAAGUCAGCCUGGCCUACACAGCACGUUUCUGGACAGCUUGGUACAGAGAUAGCAAGACAGUUCCAAACAGAAUAAAACAAAAAUUAAGGAAAGAAAUGUAAAAGUAGGAAACAAAUGGAGGAAAGAAUGAAGGGAAAGAAAGACACACAAUCACUGUCACACCGAGGGGAUCAUAGCUGUACUGCUCUCUGUCCUUGUAGCUGCGUUAAAGCCGUUUCUACCGUCUCCUUAUUAAUUCCUCAGUUUCACCCAGACACUCAUUUAAAUCUGGACUCAGUGUGUAUUAAGUAGCCAUCCGAUGCUAGACUCUAACAAGAGGAGACUCCUGUCAGCUGUGGUUUCCUACAUUUCUGUAUCAUGAAAUCAGAUGAUGGAGUGAAAAUUCUGUGUAGAAAAGCAUAAACAAACAUCAGGUUAUACAUUUAGGGCAUCUCUUAUUGGAAAGAAGAGGAAACGUUGGCAUCCUGUCUGUGUUGGAUUGUUUUAUGCCAACUUGGUGCAAGCUAAAGUCAUCCUCGAGGAGGGAACCUCAAUUAAGAAGAUGCCUCUAGAAGACUGGGCUGUUGGCAAGCCUGAAGGUCAUUUUCUCAAUCAGUGAUUGAUGGAUGAGGGCCCAGCUCAUUGUGAGUGGUGCCCGCCCCUGGCUGGUGAUCCUGGGUUCUAUAAGAAAGCAGGCUGAGCAAGCCACGAGGAACAAGCCAAUAAGUAGCAUUCCUCCAUGGUCUCUG